Molecule: long non-coding RNA, 490 nt
Filed under: Homo sapiens (human)
Lineage: Eukaryota; Metazoa; Chordata; Mammalia; Primates; Hominidae
Description: non-protein coding lnc-FRG2-5:2
Source: RNAcentral
GUCCACCUCCCCUCCCCAUUGAACUAAAGAAACUUCUUGUCUCAUGGAUACUCAGAAUACCAAUCAAGAGUUCCAGACACUACUGAUGGUGACCAAGGCAACAUUUCAUCAGAAAACACAGUGCUGGGCUUGUGAAGAAGGUGUCCAGUAGAGCUUCCACUGCCCCUAUAGGCUGCAGGCAGCUGCUUUAGUUGAGAGACUGAGCUCCUCAAAGAAUUCCUAUUUAAGUUACAAAGCAGCGAGUGGAUGCCCUGCUGGGUUCCACUGUUGCCACAGCCUUUGAUUACUCUAAGUUCAUGCUCCUUAGGAAAGUGCACUUUUUACACCAAUGCUACACAGUUCUCUCAGUUGCCUUUACUGGUCAUCAAGGAGUUCACAUUUUUGACAACCAUUCAGUCCUGGACUGUCCAAGGGGUGGAGGUAGCUCUGUACAGGAAGCUGCCUGCUGCCUGUGGAUCACUAAUAUCAGACUUGCCCAAAAACUCACUGA